UCGUCACGCCACGGGAGUCCGCCUAGGCGGGCUGAGAGGAGGGGCGUGCCCUCGACCGUCCGCACCUGAUCCGGGUCAUGCCGGCGCAGGAAGGUCCUCGUGGUGCGUC
This 109-nucleotide non-coding RNA is filed under the name Alloactinosynnema sp. L-07. Its description in RNAcentral is "TPP riboswitch aptamer (THI element)". It matches the Rfam family "TPP riboswitch aptamer (THI element)". From Rfam's summary of the family: Vitamin B(1) in its active form thiamin pyrophosphate (TPP) is an essential coenzyme that is synthesised by coupling of pyrimidine and thiazole moieties in bacteria. The previously detected thiamin-regulatory element, thi box was extended, resulting in a new, highly conserved RNA secondary structure, the THI element, which is widely distributed in eubacteria and also occurs in some archaea. Lineage: Bacteria; Bacillati; Actinomycetota; Actinomycetes; Pseudonocardiales; Pseudonocardiaceae. The record is from Rfam by way of RNAcentral. RNAcentral also lists the same sequence under 1 other name.